AGAGUUUGAUCAUGGCUCAGGACGAACGCUGGCGGCGUGCCUAACACAUGCAAGUCGAACGGAUCUAGAUGUUAGACAUUGGACAUUAGAGGGUAGAAGCGAAGGGAUGGAAUUAAGCGGCAGGUCUAAGGCUCUUUUCUGUUAAAGGAAAGUGAGCGUUAGAAGCCGAGAGCUAACAUUUCCGGAUUAUCUAAAAUCUAAUAUCUAGCGUCUAGCAUCUAGAUUAGUGGCGGACGGGUGAGUAACGCGUGAGCAACCUGCCUUUCAGAGGGGGAUAACGUUUGGAAACGAACGCUAAUACCGCAUGAAAUGCUACCAACGCCUGUUGGAAGCAUCAAAGGAGCAAUCCGCUGAAAGAUGGGCUCGCGUCCGAUUAGAUAGUUGGUGGGGUAAGAGCCUACCAAGUCAACGAUCGGUAGCCGGACUGAGAGGUUGAUCGGCCACAUUGGGACUGAGACACGGCCCAGACUCCUACGGGAGGCAGCAGUGGGGGAUAUUGCACAAUGGGCGCAAGCCUGAUGCAGCAACGCCGCGUGAGGGAAGACGGUUUUCGGAUUGUAAACCUCUGUCUUUGGUGAAGAAUAAAUGACGGUAGCCGAGGAGGAAGCCACGGCUAACUACGUGCCAGCAGCCGCGGUAAUACGUAGGUGGCGAGCGUUGUCCGGAAUUACUGGGUGUAAAGGGAGCGCAGGCGGGGAAGCAAGUCAGCUGUGAAAUCUAUGGGCUUAACCCAUAACGUGCAGUUGAAACUGUUUUUCUUGAGUAGAGUAGAGGUAGGCGGAAUUCCGAGUGUAGCGGUGAAAUGCGUAGAGAUUCGGAGGAACACCAGUGGCGAAAGCGGCCUACUGGGCUCUAACUGACGCUGAGGCUCGAAAGUGUGGGGAGCAAACAGGAUUAGAUACCCUGGUAGUCCACACCGUAACGAUGAUUGCUA
Molecule: ribosomal RNA, 934 nt
Filed under: uncultured bacterium
Lineage: Bacteria
Description: bacterial SSU rRNA
Rfam family: Bacterial small subunit ribosomal RNA
Source: RNAcentral